CAUCAGACCGUUUCGCGACGGGCUGCUAUUUGAUGAAUCUGAAUAACGUUGUAGAUCGCAUGGUCGAGUACCGGCGACAUGUCUUAUAAAUGCCUGCCUUAUCAACUUUGGUUGGUAGGUUAUACGCCUACCAUGGUGAUAACGGGUAACGGAGGAUAAGGGUUCGACUCCGGAGAGGGAGCCUGAGAAACGGCUGCCACAUCCAAGGAAGGCAGCAGGCACGCAAAUUACCCAAUUUCGGAACGAAGAGGUAGUGAUGAAAAAUAACGAGGCGGUGCUCUUUGAGACCCGUCAUCGGAAUGAUCUUGAUUUAAAACUGCUCGCGAGGAAUAAUUGGAGGGCAAGUCUGGUGCCAGCAGCCGCGGUAAUUCCAGCUCCAAUAGCUUAUAUUAAAGUUGUUGCGGUUAAAACGCUCGUAGUUGGAUCUGCUGUAAUCGGGAGCGGUGUCCCCGGUACGUUACCGGGUGACCGACUGCAUCUUGGGCUUCGAUGUCGGUUGAUGCGUUGGAUGCUCUUAAAAAAGUGACCAAUGUGUGCUGAAAAUUUACUUUGAACAAAAUAGAGUGCUUAAAGCAAGUGAUGUGCUUGAAUAUUAUUGCAUGGAAUAAUGGAGAAGGACCUCGGUUCUAUUUUUUGGUUUUCGGAUCUGAGGUAAUGAUUAAAAGGAACAGUCGGGGACAUUCGUAUUGCUGCGUUAGAGGUGAAAUUCUUGGAUCGCAGUAAGACGAACAACUGCGAAAGCAUUUGUCAAGGAUGUUUUCAUUAAUCAAGAACGAAAGUUAGAGGUUCGAAGGCGAUCAGAUACCGCCCUAGUUCUAACUGUAAACGAUGCCAACUAGCGAUUCGUUGAUGUUAUUGGAUUACGAUUGGACGAGAAUCUUCCGGGAAACCAAAGUUAUUCGGUUCCUGGGGAAGUAUAGUUGCAAAGCUGAAACUUAAAGGAAUUGACGGAAGGGCACCACCAGGAGUGGAGCCUGCGGCUUAAUUUGACUCAACACGGGAAAUCUCACCCGGCCCGGACAUUGAAAGGAUUGACAGAUCGAGAGCUCUUUCUUAAUUCGAUGGGUAGUGGUGCAUGGCCGUUCUUAGUUGGUGGAGCGAUUUGUCUGGUUAAUU
RNAcentral lists this ribosomal RNA (1116 nucleotides) under Dioctophyme renale. Its description in RNAcentral is "SSU rRNA". It matches the Rfam family "Eukaryotic small subunit ribosomal RNA", at positions 220 to 1324 of the family's 1831-position model. The record is from RNAcentral. Lineage: Eukaryota; Metazoa; Nematoda; Enoplea; Dioctophymatida; Dioctophymatidae.